Molecule: ribosomal RNA, 485 nt
Filed under: uncultured Methanomicrobia archaeon
Lineage: Archaea; Methanobacteriati; Methanobacteriota; Methanomicrobia
Description: bacterial SSU rRNA
Rfam family: Archaeal small subunit ribosomal RNA
Source: RNAcentral
GCGUCCGGGAGAAACUGCUAACUUGGGAGCGGGGGAGGUUGGAGGUACUCCAGGGGUAGAGGUGAAAUUCUGUAAUCCUUGGGGGACCACCAGUGGCGAAGGCGUCCAACCAAAACGCGUCCGACGGUGAGGGACGAAAGCCAGGGGCACGAACCGGAUUAGAUACCCGGGUAGUCCUGGCCGUAAACGAUGCGGGCUAGGUGUCACAAUGGCUGCGCGCCACUGUGGUGCCGUAGAGAAAUCGCGAAGCCUGCCGCUUGGGAAGUACGGCCGCAAGGCUGAAACUUGAAGGAAUUGGCGGGGGAGCACUACAACGGGUGGAGCCUGCGGUUUAAUUGGAUUCAACGCCGGGAAGCUUACCGGGUGCGACAGCUGGAUGAAGGCCANGCUAAAGACCUUGCUGGACUAGCUGAGAGGAGGUGCAUGGCCGUCGUCAGUUCGUACUGUGAAGCGUCCUGUUUAGUCAGGCAACGAACGAGAUCCAC